Molecule: transfer RNA, 85 nt
Filed under: Deltaproteobacteria bacterium
Lineage: Bacteria; Pseudomonadati; Myxococcota; Myxococcia
Description: tRNA-Phe
Rfam family: tRNA
About the family: Transfer RNA (tRNA) molecules are approximately 80 nucleotides in length. Their secondary structure includes four short double-helical elements and three loops (D, anti-codon, and T loops).
Source: RNAcentral
GCCGAGGUAGCUCAGUCGGUAGAGCAGGGGACUGAAAAUCCCCGUGUCAGUGGUUCNNUGCGUGUUGUCCUUGCAUUUCUUUCUU